This 3400-nucleotide long non-coding RNA is filed under the name Homo sapiens (human). Its description in RNAcentral is "non-protein coding lnc-FAM72B-8:9". Lineage: Eukaryota; Metazoa; Chordata; Mammalia; Primates; Hominidae. The record is from RNAcentral.
GCCUCUCCCCGCCAACCCUGCCCGGAGCGCCAGCGAUGCCCUCUGCCCGCGGGGACCCGAGCCUCGCGCGCCCUCCGCCCUCCCUACCCUGGCCCCUGUACCCAUCACACCUGGGGCACUGCCGUCCGCCGAGCUUGGGCGCGCGGCGGCGAGAAGGCACUGGAGGAGGAGAAGCAGCCGGGGCGUAGGCGCCCUCGCCCCCAGCAGGCCGGGGAGGGCGCGCAUGGCGCCAGAGGGUCCGCCUCAGUUCUCGUGGAGACUGCUCCCUCAGCUCGCCGCCGCGGGUGUCCGGAAUCCCUCCGCACACUCGCAGGUGGCCCGGCACCCGCAGCCAGUGCCGCGGGCAGGACGCUGAAGAAAAGGCGGAAUGGGAGGGGCCCGGCCGCCUUGCCCUACUCCCCGAGACGCUCUUACCGCGCCCGGCCUUCCAUCAGUUAUGCAGCCCUCAGCCCGCUGCUGGCGUUCCCGGAUGUGCGGUGCUACUCCCGGCUGCAGCCUCUCCGGCCUCCGCCCUCUAGGCUCUAGCAGGUCGGGAGAGAGCUUGGGCAGGUGAUGUGUAGCCCAUCGCGUGGGGAGAGGUUGAAACUAUCCCUGCAGACUGGCCUUUGCACUUCAUCUGAGGCAGAUUUCACUAAUUUUCGUUGAUGGGACAGAUGAGAGACACUUUCCUCCUCCCCGACCCCGGACAUCUUUGGGCUUUCUUAUGAGGGAGGCUUAUUUUUGCGCAGGUGUAAGGUUUUAUCCAGCUGCCAGACAACUUGUACUGAUCUUUCUUUGCUUUGCCUACUAAUCACACACACCCUCUCUUCUAGCCUGUGAAGACUUAACUGAUUUUCUACGGAUGAAGGUUUCAGUGUCCCAAGGCCCCAUACCGUAUCUGAUUUUACUUUAUUUUUGUUUGUUAAGCCUAACAGCUUCUGAGGAGCCACGUAGAGCUCAAGAAGCAAAAGCUACUGAGAGUAGAUGCUAUGUAAACUGCACAAGACGUUGACCUUUGUUAAAUCCGAACACUGUUUAAGAUAAUGCUAUCUCUUACCCACGAGGCUGUAGCUUGGAAUAUUCAGUGCUCUGAACCAAAUUAAAUAAAUUAGUGCUUUAUCCGGGAGGGGAGGAGAAAUCUAUGUUGUAACAUUGAAACACAUUGAUUUGAUUUCUCUCCAGGAUGUUAUAACGCAUUAAAAGAUAUUUUAAAUAUUUUUCACGAGCUUUGUUUCCUCUCCCUUUAUUUUUUGAAGUUCAGCUUUCACAUUCGUAAAUUCAAAAUAUAUCAGCGUUAAAAAAAAAAAAAAGGAUUGGAAAUAACAUAAGAGACAAAUUUUGAAAAUUGAACUAUUUAACAAAACCUAUGCUUAUUCCAGGCAGGAAUGGUUAAUUUGUAAUUGGUACGUAUUACUAAAACAUGUCCGUUUUUGUUUUAGUAUUAUAUGCGCAAAACUUUGGAAACAGAUGUAGAUUCUUCAAGUUGGCAGUGAGAGAAUAUGAAUAAUACAAUUCAUUCAACCAUAUUAUCUACCAGGUGCCAGUCAUUGUGUUCAAAAAAGGCUAGAUAGGCACGCAUGCACGAAUGCACGCAUGCACACAUGUACACACACACACACACAAAUUAGACAACUAUUUAUCUGUGAAUAACAAAUCUUAGAAAAGCCUCUUCUCAGAAAAUUAUGGUCACAAUGAUUAAAAUCUUUUGAAUGAAACUUUAAAAGAUGCCUUCAAGGACUAAAUUGUAUACACUGUUGACCCUCUGAGGGCAUUGACUGGGCUUGCUAAACCCAAAUUGCCUAAUCAAUGGCUGCUACAUCACGCCUCUUUCUUUCUACCCUGCAUCUGGUCUCAGGACUAACUGCACACGUUUCCCUAUAAUUAGGUAGAGUGUCAACACUAAGCACUUCUCACCUCAAACUAAACUCUGACUGACUUUUCCCAGUUAGUCUCAUAAAAUCCUUAGACACAGUAUUCACCCGUCUUCAAAUGAGCUGAACUUACUUAAACAUUUUUUUUUCAGUUGAAUCAGCCUAUUUAUGACAAGAAAAACUUACUUGCCCAAGUUGAUGCUGAUCCCCACUGUUGCUUUUGCUGUUAGAACAAAAAAGUUGAGAAAGAAAUAUAAUUCUCAUUUUGCUAAGCAUUUUGAAAGUCUUUUCAUCAUUGUUCCUGUUCUAUAUUUAGAUAUUUGAUAUUUCCAGCCUUAUGCACAUUCCACUUUUUCAAAUGCUCCAUAUCCUUUAAAACCAGCUUAUCAACUGCCUUCCCUAUAUAACUUUUUCUGACCUUUCUGGUCCAAACUGACCUUUUCCUCCUUGGUGAAAUAAAUAUUGCAACAAGCACUUUGAUACUCUCAUCAUCAUGAAGUGUAUAAAGGGGGAAUAAGGGUCCUUUGUUUUCUCCCCUUGAGUUGGGUGGGCUCUGUGACUCCCCUAACCUACUGAAUAUUGCUGAAGAGAUAUUGUGUGGGCUGGCCAGGCCUGGUGGCUCGCGCCUGUAAUUCCAGCACUUUGGGAGGCUGAGGCAGGCAGAUGACAAGGUCAGGAGCUCGAAACCAGCCUGGCCAAUAUGGUGAAACCCCAUCUCUACUAAAAAUGCAAAAAAAAAAAAAAAAAAAAAUUAACUGGGCGUGGUGGCACAUGCCUAUAAUCCCAGCUACUUGGGAAGCUAAGGCAGGAGAAUUGCUUGAACCCAGGAGGCAGAGCUUGCGGUAAGCCAAGAUUGCGCCACUGCACUCCAGCCAGGGCAACAGAGCAAAACUCUGUCUCAAAAAAAAAAAGAGAGAGCGAGAGAGAAAGAUUGUGUGGGCUUUCUGUUCCAGACCACAAGAGCUUCCACUUCCUUUCUCUUGGAGACCUUGCUCAUAGAAGACAGCUGCCUGGUGAAAAGUACUACGGUAUUAUCCUGAGACUGCCACACGUUCCAGGGUACAUGUGCAGAAUAUGCAGGUUUCUUACGUAGGUAAGUAUGUGCCAUGGUGGUUUGCUUCACAGAUCAUCCCAUCACCUAGGUAUUAAGCCCAGCAUGCAUUAGCUAUUCUUCCUGAUGCUCUCCUUCCUGCAACACCCCACCCCCAACAGGCCCAGUAUGUGUCCAUGCGGUCUCAUCAUUAAGCUCAUUCAGCUGAGAAUAUGUGGUGUUUGGUUUUCUGUCCCUGCAUUAGUUUGCUGAGGAUAACAGCUUCCAGCUCCGUCUAUGUCCCUACAAAGGAUAUGAUCUUGUUCCUUUUUAUGGCUGCAUAGUAUUCCAUGGUGUAUAUGUACAACAUUUUCUUUAUCCAGUCUACCAUUGAUGGGCAUUUGGAUAGAUUCCAUGUCUUUACUAUUGUGAAUAGUUGGUUAUUAUAUCUUUGCAGUAAAUUUUGAAGCCAGGUAAUGUGAUGCCUCCAGCCUUUUUUUUUUUUUUUUCUUUUUUUGCU